GAAAGUGUUUUUAUUAUUGUCAGCGUGCACAUCAGCUGAUUACAAUGAGAGUAUUUGACUGAAUUCAGCAAUUGCAACAGCUUUGAACAAGUCUUUCACGGGAUGCUGAAACAUAAAGGCUAUAAAACAGCAGUUGGUGAACUUCAUGUUUUUGUUCAUUAUAAUCUAUGACAUGAAAUAAAUGGCAUUUUAUGAGUGGUGGUCACAUGAGAAGUUUGACUGUGAUGGAUCAUUCACUGUUGGUCAACAAUGAACAAAGAAUAGAGGACAGAACAGAGCAGGACUCAUAUCUGGAGCAAUUGAAUGCUACUUCCAAAUAAUAUUAAACAAAAUGGUACAAAACAACACCAUUUAUCUGCUGAAUCACUUCUCGGCUGGUGCCAUCAUCAGUGGAGACUGAGAUGCUGUAUGCAGACAGAGCCUACGGAAGGUGGACUUCAAAAACUAUAUGGCCAUUAUAAGGUUUCUGAAUGUCAGUGGGAACCACUGGAAGUUUUUGGUGAAAGCUUUCAAAAUAAGUCAUGGAUCUGUAGUCAAAACUCAACUUUGAUUUCAAAUAUUUCUUUUUUUCUUUUACCAGUAUCUGCAUGCAUCCUCUGAUCAAGUGUUUGUGAUUGAUCCAGCAGGAAAUCAGGAGGAGAAGGACUCUCUUCAUGCUGCAGCCAGAUUUAGGUAAAAACACACUGUUAAAAUAAUAGCACUAAACCCAAAACAAAUGAAUAACACUCACUUUAAGUGGAUUACACUUAAAUGCGUAAUACUUUAAGAUGAGAUUUGUGUGCAGCGGUAAAAAUGACUGGAGUGAUGUUAAGUGGCAAGGAGGUAUUAUAAAUCACACAACCCAGCAGGACUUACAGCUGUGGUGUAUUUGUCAUGCAGGUAUUUUGUUCUCAUAUUGUAAGUACAAUGUUCAAAUAGUGAAGACAAUAUAUACAUUAAAUUCUUUCAUUGAACAAGAGCUAUUAAUUUGUAGAUGGCCAAAGAGUUUGUCACAGUAUUCACUGAAAUUCCUUCCAAGCUAUGCAUUGACCCUUGUAUGGAACAAGUUCGGAAACAGAUGGCAGAGGAAAUCCUGACAGAAUCAGGUGGUUGAAAUUCAAUGGGAACCAAAACCUGACAUCACAAAAUUCUUAUUGUUUUCUGUCAGCCUCUGUUGCUAUUUUGAUAUCUGUAUACUUUUAGUGUUCAGAAAGGGUCACUGCUGUGCACUCUGUGCUUCUGCAAAACACCCUGGAGGUGGUCCAACAACUGACUGGGUUUGGAUUGGAAUUGGAUUUUAGGAAUCUCAUCCCAGACCAGAUGUGUGCUCCAAUUUGUCCCAGAGCAGAAAUCGUAAAAGCAACAGGUCAGGCAAUGGAUUGAGAAACCAUUCCAAUUCUCUAUGCGCCAGCGGAGCUGAUUAAGAAUCAAGUGCACAUGUAGAAUGAUGCACCUGCAAAUUUGGACACAAUGAGUUGCAAGAUCAUGGUAUUUUUUACACAUGGAUUCUGAAUGUAUGUUCGCAUGAUUCAAGCAAAUCUGCUUUGGCAAUAUAUAGUAGGCUAUUAUUAGGGUCACACAUAUCACAUUGAGAUUGCCGAAACAUUCGUUUGUGGACUCCCGUAGUACCAGGCCUUGGAAUAAGAUUAAAUUGGUCCCAUAUUUAAAUUCACCACAUUAACACUCCCCAAAUGCAGGAGAACACAAUCACUCAAUUAACCCACCAGCAAAUAACAAACAUACACAUCACAUAUAAAUGAUUUAAACUGUCACUGUAGUGCUUAAAUUACCAUCCAUGCUUAUAGAAACAAAUGAUUUCUUUUCCUCUACAAUUAAUGAUAUAUUUCACCUUAACUGAUUAACACAGAAUCCAAUGAUCUUGUCUCCGUUUAAUGUUUAUUGGCAGAAAACUCUAGGAACUUCAGUACUGAUGUUUAACUUAAAUUGUUUAUUGAUAACAGAUUAAUUCUCAUUUAUGUCUUACAAUGUACAUGGUUCAAUAUUUGUACAUGAAUCCACACUUAGAUAUCAUUUUAAAAUCACCAAUAAAGCACAUUACAUAAUGAUCAACUAAGAAAAAAUAGACUUAACCAGAGCUGCCUGAAUAAAACACCCAAAUAAAUGGUUCAUGUUUUACAACUCAUCUAAAAGCAAACAUUAUUAAGAUUUGUCUUCAUGUUCACACUUUAAACAUUUGGGUUUUUAUUCAUUAAUCUACAGCUCAAGAAACUUUAAGCUGGGAGUUAUCAAACCGCAUAUCAAGAAGACACAGCCUUUGGAGUUGAGAGAGAAGAGUGUGCUUAUUUGAAAUGAAUUUAUGAACAUGGUGUAAUUUCAAUAGCAUGUGUUGUGUCAGAGUUCUGUCACUAAAACCAACAUCCAAAUGUUCUUCUAGGAACUAGCAACAAGACACAGCCUUUGAAGUUGAGAUAGAAAACUGUAUUUAUUUGAAAUGAAUUUAUGAACAGGUUUACAUUUAUUUCAGUAGCAUUCUCCUGAAUUACAUAUGUGAGUACAAACUAUGUACCAGCAACAAGACACAGCCUUUGAAGUUGAGACAGAAGACUGUAUUUAUGUGAAAUGAAUUUAUUCAAGUUUGAAUUUCAAACCCAGUCAAAGCAACUGCACAACUUUCCUGUAGGGGGCAGUAACACUGAACACUAUUUCAACAGCAUGUCUUCUGCUACAGUUCUGUAACUAAACCCCACAUUUACAUAUUAGUCUUUUAGGGACAUGGAAUACUGCAUAACCUUUGGAUUCAAGAUGGAACGUGAACUCAGUUUUGUAAAGCAAAAUUGAUAAUUUUUGCUCAAAAUGAAUUCAUCUUUGCAAGAAGAUACAUUCUUGCAUAGAUGAAUUCAUUUUGAGCAAAAAAUAUCAAUUUUGCACUUGAAUAAAGUUUCUUUGAAUGAGAAUUUGCAGAUAUCUGAAAUUGAUGUAAUUCCACUGAUUUUGCGUGUGCAAGAUCUCACUCGCUCUCUCCUACCCACUCAUUGCUUUGACUGCUUGUUUGCUCAACACCGUCACAGCAUUAUAAUGUGCCACAAUUUCAGCCAAUCAGAGAUGAGGUGGUAAAUUUUGAGUGGCUGGCUAGACCAAAGAUCAUUCUGCUAAUAAAAACAAGAGGAAGAGAAGGGGAUAGUUUGUUUUCGAGAAAGGAAAUGUGUAACACACUAUGACCACAUUAACCUUAAUGAAAUAUAUUUUUUGUCUGAACACUGCCAAUAGGCUUACUAGCUAGAUAACUAUAUGUCUAGCUCUCUUAGUUGGGUCUAUAUUAGUAUUUGGUUAUCUAGGUCAGUGGUUCUCAACCUUUUUGACUCCAAGGCCCCCCAUUGUUGGAGAGAAUAUUCAGGCCCCCCAUGUAGGCUAUUAGAUAUUUAUAUUAUAAGAUAUAUCUAUUAUAAAAUAUUUCCUUAAGACUUGUGAUUCCAGAAAUGUCUACAACUGUAUAUUCUUCAUAAAAAGCAAACUGUUGAAGGGAGUUAUUAAAUUUUUAGCAUUUUCAGUAAGUUGAAUUAUAAUAAUUAUAUACAAAUUAUAAUAAUCAUAUUUUAAAUCAUUUUAAAGAGAUCUUGAGGCCCCCCUGGAAGUGUGCUGAGGCCCCCUAGUGGGUCCCGACCCCCUGGUUGAGAACCACUGAUAGGUUACCAAGUAACACUGACGUGCACAGAACAGGGGCUACAGGAGCGCAAGCCCCUGCCCAUUUUGUUCAUAAAUCUAAAGGUGCCCUUCACAAAUGUAAUGGUGCCCUUUUAAGCGGAGGUGCUUUUAAGAGUACAGAGAUGAUGCCUUGAAGAGCAUGGAGAUUUAAGCGGAGAUGUUUUUACUACAGCACCAAAUUACCAGAUUACAGGCUACCGUGGACCUGCAACAACUGAAUCUUCUUCUUUUUGUUAUUAUUACAUGAAAUAUUUCUUUAAUAAACAUG
Molecule: long non-coding RNA, 3910 nt
Organism: Myxocyprinus asiaticus (Chinese sucker)
Lineage: Eukaryota; Metazoa; Chordata; Actinopteri; Cypriniformes; Catostomidae
Exons: 4
Source: RefSeq, a predicted model, not a curated record